RNAcentral lists this ribosomal RNA (467 nucleotides) under uncultured bacterium. Its description in RNAcentral is "partial 16S ribosomal RNA". It matches the Rfam family "Bacterial small subunit ribosomal RNA", at positions 28 to 507 of the family's 1533-position model. The record is from RNAcentral.
GACGAACGCUGGCGGCGUGCUUAACACAUGCAAGUCGAACGGAAAGGCCUCUUUCGGGGGGUACUCGAGUGGCGAACGGGUGAGUAACACGUGAGUAACCUGCCCUUGACUUUGGGAUAACUUCAGGAAACUGGGGCUAAUACCGGAUAGGAGCUCCUGCUGCAUGGUGGGGGUUGGAAAGUUUCGGCGGUUGGGGAUGGACUCGCGGCUUAUCAGCUUGUUGGUGGGGUAGUGGCUUACCAAGGCUUUGACGGGUAGCCGGCCUGAGAGGGUGACCGGCCACAUUGGGACUGAGAUACGGCCCAGACGCCGACGGGAGGCAGCAGUGGGGAAUAUUGCACAAGGGGUGGAAGCCGGAUGCAGCAACGCCGUGUGCGGGAGGACGGCCUUCGGGUUGCAAACCGCUUUCGCUCAUGACGAAGCUUUGUGUGACGGUAGUGGGUAAAGAAGCACCGGCUAACUACGUG